This 88-nucleotide transfer RNA is filed under the name Candidatus Bathyarchaeota archaeon. Its description in RNAcentral is "tRNA-Leu". It matches the Rfam family "tRNA". From Rfam's summary of the family: Transfer RNA (tRNA) molecules are approximately 80 nucleotides in length. Their secondary structure includes four short double-helical elements and three loops (D, anti-codon, and T loops). Further hydrogen bonds mediate the characteristic L-shaped molecular structure. tRNAs have two regions of fundamental functional importance: the anti-codon, which is responsible for specific mRNA codon recognition, and the 3' end, to which the tRNAs corresponding amino acid is attached (by aminoacyl-tRNA synthetases). tRNAs cope with the degeneracy of the genetic code in two manners: having more than one tRNA (with a specific anti-codon) for a particular amino acid; and 'wobble' base-pairing, i.e. permitting non-standard base-pairing at the 3rd anti-codon position. The record is from RNAcentral. Lineage: Archaea; Thermoproteati; Candidatus Bathyarchaeota. RNAcentral also lists the same sequence under 1 other name.
GCGGGGGUGUCCGAGUUAGGUCAAAGGAGACAGGCUUAGGACCUGUUGGCGUAGGCCUGCGUGGGUUCAAGUCCCACCCCCCGCACCA